This 429-nucleotide ribosomal RNA is filed under the name uncultured soil bacterium. RNAcentral describes it as "bacterial SSU rRNA". It matches the Rfam family "Bacterial small subunit ribosomal RNA", at positions 26 to 481 of the family's 1533-position model. The record is from RNAcentral.
AGAACGAACGCUGGCGGCAUGCCUAAUACAUGCAAGUCGAACGAACUCUUCGGAGUUAGUGGCGCACGGGUGCGUAACGCGUGGGAAUCUGCCCCUUGGUUCGGAAUAACAGUUGGAAACGACUGCUAAUACCGGAUGAUGACGAAAGUCCAAAGAUUUAUCGCCAAGGGAUGAGCCCGCGUAGGAUUAGCUAGUUGGUGAGGUAAAGGCUCACCAAGGCAACGAUCCUUAGCUGGUCUGAGAGGAUGAUCAGCCACACUGGGACUGAGACACGGCCCAGACUCCUACGGGAGGCAGCAGUAGGGAAUAUUGGACAAUGGGCGAAAGCCUGAUCCAGCAAUGCCGCGUGAGUGAUGAAGGCCGUUAGGUUGUAAGUCUCUUUUACCCGAGGAUGAUAAUAGACUAGAGUACGGAAGAAGUACGACCCGG